CUCAUUUCAUUUUUAAUGAUUAAAUAUUCAACUCUCAUCUUUUGCCCACUUGCUCACAUAUUCUUGCUAUAUUUUUGUUAAAAGAAUUUGAAUUUAAUAUUUAUAAUAAUAAUAAUAGGGACGGUAAGAGCAGAAGGAAUUUCCAGUGGAGCGGUGAAAUGCGUAGAGAUCGGAAAGAACACCAACGGCGAAAGCACUCUGCUGGGCCGACACUGACACUGAGAGACGAAAGCUAGGGUAGCGAAUGGGAUUAGAUACCGCAGUAGUCCCAGCCGUAAAUGAUGGAUACUAGACGUUGUGCGUAUCGACCCGCGCAUUGCUGUAGCUAACGCGUUAAGUAUCUCGUCUGGGGAGUACGUUCGCAAGAAUGAAACUCAAAGGAAUUGACGGGGGCCCGCAAUAGGGAUCAUUGUUGAAAUUGAAAAUCAAUAUAGGAUCACUAUUAUU
This 447-nucleotide non-coding RNA is filed under the name Daucus carota subsp. sativus. Its description in RNAcentral is "Bacterial small subunit ribosomal RNA". It matches the Rfam family "Bacterial small subunit ribosomal RNA", at positions 577 to 982 of the family's 1533-position model. Lineage: Eukaryota; Viridiplantae; Streptophyta; Magnoliopsida; Apiales; Apiaceae. The record is from Rfam by way of RNAcentral.